This 192-nucleotide non-coding RNA is filed under the name Flavobacterium sp. The record is from RNAcentral. Lineage: Bacteria; Pseudomonadati; Bacteroidota; Flavobacteriia; Flavobacteriales; Flavobacteriaceae. RNAcentral also lists the same sequence under 1 other name.
AAUUUUAAAACAGAAAAUGGUUGUCAUAUCGAUAUGAUAUUGACAUUAAAAGGGAAUUUGGUGUAAAUCCAAAACUGUCCCGCAGCUGUAAGCUCAUUAACUGAAGCCCUUUAAUACGUCACUUUUCAUUUAGAAAGGGAAGGCAGGGUGUAGGGAGUAAGUCAGAAGACCUGCCGUUUUUUUAUACUAAUA